GACGAACGCUGGCGGCGCGCCUAACACAUGCAAGUCGAGCGAUAACCAGUCCUUCGGGACUGGGGACGAGCGGCGAACGGGUGAGUAACACGUGGGUAAUCUACCCUCGGUUUCGGGAUAGCCCGGGGAAACCCGGAUUAAUACCGAAUGGCCUCUCAGGCUCUCGGGCUUGAGAGAAAAGGUAGCUUCGGCCUCUGACCGAGGAUGAGCCCGCGGCCGAUUAGCUAGUUGGUGGGGUAAUGGCCCACCAAGGCGACGAUCGGUAGCUGGUCUGAGAGGACGAUCAGCCACACUGGGGACUGAGACACGGCCCAGACUCCUACGGGAGGCAGCAGUGGGGAAUCUUGCGCAAUGGGCAAAGCCUGACGCAGCGACGCCG
This 379-nucleotide ribosomal RNA is filed under the name uncultured bacterium. RNAcentral describes it as "bacterial SSU rRNA". It matches the Rfam family "Bacterial small subunit ribosomal RNA", at positions 28 to 399 of the family's 1533-position model. The record is from RNAcentral.